RNAcentral lists this ribosomal RNA (338 nucleotides) under Tubifex tubifex (sludge worm). Its description in RNAcentral is "partial 16S ribosomal RNA". It matches the Rfam family "Bacterial large subunit ribosomal RNA", at positions 1945 to 2519 of the family's 2925-position model. The record is from RNAcentral. Lineage: Eukaryota; Metazoa; Annelida; Clitellata; Tubificida; Naididae.
ACCGUGCAAAGGUAGCAUAAUCACUUGCCUAUUAAUUGUAGGCUAGAAUGAAGGGACAAACGAGAAUACACCUGUCUCCUUUAAGCCCUUAAAAAUUUAUCUUUAAGUGAAGAAGCUUAAAUUCAUAUGCAGGACAAGAAGACCCUAUAGAGCUUUACCUAAAAUCUACAUAAAUAGUAGCUAGCGGUUCGGUUGGGGCGACCGGGGGACAUUCAUCACCCCCCAAACUAAAAGAUAUACCUAUCCCACCAAAGAUCCUUACUCAAGAUCAAAGAAUCAAGCUACCUUAGGGAUAACAGGCUAAUCCUCUUAGAGAGCCCUUAUCGACAAGAGGGGUU